RNAcentral lists this long non-coding RNA (464 nucleotides) under Physeter macrocephalus (sperm whale). Its description in RNAcentral is "Physeter catodon (sperm whale) lncRNA (ENSPCTG00005005605.1)". Lineage: Eukaryota; Metazoa; Chordata; Mammalia; Artiodactyla; Physeteridae. The record is from RNAcentral.
AAGGAAGUGCUCAGUAAAUAUGAAAAAAGAACUAAUGUUAUAUUCAGAGACAUAGUCUCCAAUAAUAACACGCAGAGCAGAAGGAAGGUGCAAAAUCUUCAUGCACACCUGAAAACCUUUCUCUGGACUGUCAAGGGCUGAGGUUUCUGCUUUUUUAUUCCUCAAGUGUCUAGCAUGAUGGCCAAAGGAGUUAUAUAUUAUGUUUACCUCCCAUUUUACAUCUAUUAUCACGAUGGCUUCAAACUUCAGACAUUACUUCUGGGAACACUGAUUGACCUUGGCCUUUCCUGCCUGGCCCUGCUUUCUCUCAGCCCUCGGAGGCUUGAAGACACAACCCCAUAAAUCAUCAAGCUCAUACCUGAGGCCUUCCUCCAUCUGCCUAAACUUGGGACAGUUUCUCUUCGCACGUAAGCCUAGUUUUCCUUCCUCUUUUGAGAACCAGUGUGGAGAACACUGAAGACAGA